AGAACUGAAAUAUAGGUAAGUAACCCUGUUCUUUAAUUACUAAGAACUGAAAUAUAGGUAAGUAACCCUGUUCUUUAAUUACUGUGAACUGAAAUAUAGGUAAGUAACCCUGUUCUUUAAUUACUGAGAACUGAAAAAUAGGUAAGUACUGUAACCCUAUUCUUUAAUUAAUGUGAACUGAAAUAUAGGUACGGUAAGUAACCCUGUUCUUUAAUUACUGUGAACUGAAAUAUAGGUAAAUAACCCUGUUCUUUAAUUACUGAGAACUGAAAAAUAGGUAAGUAACCCUGUUCUUUAAUCACUGUGAAGUGAAAUAUAGGUAAGUACUGUAACCCUAUUCUUUAAUUAAUGUGAACUGAAAUAUAGGUACGGUAAGUAACCCUGUUCUUUAAUUACUGUGAAGUGAAAUAUAGGUAAGUAACCCUGUUCUUUAAUUACUGAGAACUGAAAUAUAGGUAAGUAACCCUGUUCUUUAAUUACUGAGAACUGAAAAAUAGGUAAGUAACCCUGUUCUUUAAUCACUGUGAAGUGAAAUAUAGGUAAGUACUGUAACCCUAUUCUUUAAUUAAUGUGAACUGAAAUAUAGGUACGGUAAGUAACCCUGUUCUUUAAUUACUGUGAAGUGAAAUAUAGGUAAGUAACCCUGUUCUUUAAUUACUGAGAACUGAAAUAUAGGUAAGUAACCCUGUUCUUUAAUUACUGAGAACUGAAAAAUAGGUAAGUAACCCUGUUCUUUAAUCACUGUGAAGUGAAAUAUAGGUAAGUACUGUAACCCUAUUCUUUUAUUAAUUACUGUGAACUGAAAUAUAGGUAAGUAACCCUGUUCUUUAAUUACUGAGAACUGAAAUAUAGGUAAGUAACCCUGUUCUUUAAUUACUGUGAAGUGAAAUAUAGGUAAGUAACCCUGUUUUUUAGUUACUGAGAACUGAAAUAUAGGUAAGUAACCCUGUUCUUUAAUUACUGAGAACUGAAUGAAUUUAUCAUUUCUAUAUCAUCCAGAAAAUACAAUAUCAGAAGUUACAGAUUUUUCUUUAUUUCAUUGUCACAACUAUAACACAUAUACUUAUAUCCUCCUUUAGCAUACUUUGUGCAGCAAAUAUGUACAUAUAUGGCCUGAGGUUUUAUCAGCGUACACUGUGUAGACUUGAGUACCACCAUGAGUCAGACUGGGCUGUCACAGUAUCAUGUGGAAAGAUGGAGGAUAGGGCAAUACUGGGAGGACAUACCGGUAGUAGGAAAGAUUUACCUUUUUGCAAUGGUUUGGAUAUCGCCUGUGCUGCAGGAGGAUGCGCUUAACUUAUGAUGAGGCGCAGGUCUCAUCAUAAAUUAAGUGCAUCUUCCAGCAGUUACGGCGCCCCAAAACAGAGAAGCCAUAGAUGUUUUGGCUCAUUUGAGCCAGAAAACUGGCAUAAAUGAAGAUAAAUGUGUUGUAGCGUCCAGCCCAGGUCAGUACUGCCAUAUGCAUA
Molecule: long non-coding RNA, 1466 nt
Organism: Bufo bufo (common toad)
Lineage: Eukaryota; Metazoa; Chordata; Amphibia; Anura; Bufonidae
Exons: 3
Source: RefSeq, a predicted model, not a curated record